GAUGAAGAACGUAGCGAAAUGCGAUAAGUAGUGUGAAUUGCAGAAUUCAGUGAAUCAUCGAAUCUUUGAACGCACAUUGCGCCCCUCGGUAUUCCGUGGGGCAUGCCUGUUCGAGCGUCAUUUAACCCCUCAAGCCUAGCUUGGUAUUGGGUGCUUGUCCCGCCUCUCGCGCGGCGACUCACCUCAAAGUCAUUGGCAGCCCGCAUCUCGCCGGCCGUGAGCGCAGCACAGACGCGCUCUUGGCAACGACGGAUCGGCUCUCCAAAAGCUUAUUUCAACCACUGACCUCGGAUCAGGUAGGGAUACCCGCUGAACUUAAGCAUAUCAAUAAGCGGAGCA
This 339-nucleotide unclassified non-coding RNA is filed under the name soil metagenome. RNAcentral's name for it is "partial contains 5.8S ribosomal RNA, internal transcribed spacer 2, and large subunit ribosomal RNA". The stretch from base 1 to 120 matches the Rfam family "5.8S ribosomal RNA", at positions 35 to 154 of the family's 154-position model. The record is from RNAcentral.